This 486-nucleotide long non-coding RNA is filed under the name Homo sapiens (human). RNAcentral describes it as "HSALNT0066905". Lineage: Eukaryota; Metazoa; Chordata; Mammalia; Primates; Hominidae. The record is from RNAcentral.
CCAGGUUUGGAGGUGGUGCUCAUCACUCCCCCCAAAUUCCGUGGACUAGAACUUAGUCAGCCGGCCACACCUUAUUACGAGGGGAGGCUGGAAAGUGUAGUCUCGCUGUCCACCCCAGGAGGAAGAGGAGAACACAGCAGAUUCUUCCACAUUAGGGUCCCUCUUCCUCCUGGGAAAGAUGGACCAGGACGCAGCCCGGGCUGGCAGGAAGGCCCCCUGGAGGAGGCAGCAUUGGCAGUGGGCUGGAAGGAUGCUGACUCAGGAUGGAGCAGUGUAAUUUGGGAGGACCAAGGAGGGUAACUCACCCCAAAUAUCUCCAGCUGCCCAACCAGCGCCAAGUGAGCACAAAUGCCCAGUCUUCUCACAAGGACUUUUGGUGUCAUUUUGUGAGCCAGGAAGGUGCCUUUACAGCUGACAAUUACAUAUCCAUUGAGGAAACGUAAUAAAAACCAUCCCUCCCCUCAUUUACCUAAAUGUGAUUUUCUG